AAUCUCAUUUUUGAGUUUUACUAUUUUUUUCAUUAUAGUAUCGCAGAUUGAACUUAUAUCUGAUGCAACGUCACAGACGUUAUGUCAGAUCUCCAACUUUAAAACCAUCGCUGUUAGAGGUUGCUUCUCUUUACGAAGGGUUAAGCGACCCAUGAAAUGGUGAUGACCUAGAGUUUGGAACAUUC
RNAcentral lists this small nucleolar RNA (185 nucleotides) under Huiozyma naganishii CBS 8797. RNAcentral describes it as "Kazachstania naganishii CBS 8797 Small nucleolar RNA snR42". It matches the Rfam family "Small nucleolar RNA snR42". The record is from Rfam by way of RNAcentral. Lineage: Eukaryota; Fungi; Ascomycota; Saccharomycetes; Saccharomycetales; Saccharomycetaceae.